This 468-nucleotide ribosomal RNA is filed under the name uncultured bacterium. RNAcentral describes it as "partial 16S ribosomal RNA". It matches the Rfam family "Bacterial small subunit ribosomal RNA", at positions 28 to 507 of the family's 1533-position model. The record is from RNAcentral.
GACGAACGCUGGCGGCGUGCUUAACACAUGCAAGUCGAACGGAAAGGCCCUGCUUUUGUGGGGUGCUCGAGUGGCGAACGGGUGAGUAACACGUGAGUAACCUGCCCUUGACUUUGGGAUAACUUCAGGAAACUGGGGCUAAUACCGGAUAGGAGCUCCUGCUGCAUGGUGGGGGUUGGAAAGUUUCGGCGGUUGGGGAUGGACUCGCGGCUUAUCAGCUUGUUGGUUGGGUAGUGGCUUACCAAGGCUUUGACGGGUAGCCGGCCUGUGAGGGUGAACGGCCACAUUGGGACUGCGGUACGGACCAGACUCCUACGGGGGGCAGCGGUCGGGAAUAUUGCCCAAUGGGCGGGAGCCUGAUGCAGCAGCGCCGCGUGCGGGAUGACGGCCUUCGGGUUGUAAACCGCUUUCGCCUGUGACGAAGCGUGAGUGACGGUAAUGAGUAAAGAAGCACCGGCUAACUACGUG